UGAGCUUGAUCAUGGCUCAGAUUGAACGCUGGCGGCAGGCCUAACACAUGCAAGUCGAGCGGUAGAGAGAAGCUUGCUUCUCUUGAGAGCGGCGGACGGGUGAGUAAUGCCUAGGAAUCUGCCUGGUAGUGGGGGAUAACGUUCGGAAACGGACGCUAAUACCGCAUACGUCCUACGGGAGAAAGCAGGGGACCUUCGGGCCUUGCGCUAUCAGAUGAGCCUAGGUCGGAUUAGCUAGUUGGUGAGGUAAUGGCUCACCAAGGCGACGAUCCGUAACUGGUCUGAGAGGAUGAUCAGUCACACUGGAACUGAGACACGGUCCAGACUCCUACGGGAGGCAGCAGUGGGGAAUAUUGGACAAUGGGCGAAAGCCUGAUCCAGCCAUGCCGCGUGUGUGAAGAAGGUCUUCGGAUUGUAAAGCACUUUAAGUUGGGAGGAAGGGUUGUAGAUUAAUACUCUGCAAUUUUGACGUACCGACAG
RNAcentral lists this ribosomal RNA (480 nucleotides) under Pseudomonas sp. 01WB03.4-5. RNAcentral's name for it is "bacterial SSU rRNA". It matches the Rfam family "Bacterial small subunit ribosomal RNA", at positions 1 to 484 of the family's 1533-position model. Lineage: Bacteria; Pseudomonadati; Pseudomonadota; Gammaproteobacteria; Pseudomonadales; Pseudomonadaceae. The record is from RNAcentral.